CGCAGCCCUUUGCCUUCCGCGCCCAGCACCAGUGCCAGCGGCGCGUGCAACGGCACUUUGCUGAGAUCGCCCUGGCCUUCGCUGUCGAGGCCCACCGUGAGGAAGCCAGCCUCGUUCAUCNNNNNNNGGUUCGGAACCUCAACGAUGGGCACAAGCUCAAGUGCGCCGGACGCGGACUUCGCCAGCACGCCCGUCGCUUCCGGACUGUGCCGUCCGGUGGUGACGAUCGCCUUGACGCCGAACGCGGCGGCCGAGCGCAGGAUCGCGCCGACAUUGUGCGGAUCGG
RNAcentral lists this unclassified non-coding RNA (286 nucleotides) under Hevea brasiliensis (rubber tree). The record is from RNAcentral. Lineage: Eukaryota; Viridiplantae; Streptophyta; Magnoliopsida; Malpighiales; Euphorbiaceae.